CAUUUAAAUUGAACUCAUAAUGGCUAUUAAUAUAGCCCAUAUCGUAGGUCAUAGUCGCUGGACACUUCGACCUAUGAUGUGGUCUCGGCUCGAAUAUCGACCUGCCAUGCUAUUGGAGAACUUUUAGCCUCAUCGUAGAAUGUCUCCUCUACUUCAAACUCGAUGAAAAUGUUGCGUACGUGCAAUCCUUUGAACAUCUCGUAGUUCUACAUGUACAUUCCUUGUUUCAAUGUGAAACGAUCGUUUCGAACGAAUUUAAUCUUCACUGUGAAAUCUGCCAUUUCUGGAUAAACAAAGGCAAUUUUUAGAAAUGGCGAAAGAAAGGAGAGAGAAUAAAACGAGAUGGAAGGAUGUAAAGGGAUAAAAAGCGCUGAGGAAAUCUCGUUGAAUUUACGACACGCUAUUCUAGGCGCUGUAUCUUAGACUGUAAAACGAGACUGGAGGCGGGUAGAACCGACUGA
Molecule: unclassified non-coding RNA, 461 nt
Filed under: Bombus terrestris (buff-tailed bumblebee)
Lineage: Eukaryota; Metazoa; Arthropoda; Insecta; Hymenoptera; Apidae
Description: misc RNA ENSBTSG00005026496.1
Source: RNAcentral